This 406-nucleotide ribosomal RNA is filed under the name uncultured bacterium. RNAcentral describes it as "bacterial SSU rRNA". It matches the Rfam family "Bacterial small subunit ribosomal RNA", at positions 354 to 776 of the family's 1533-position model. The record is from RNAcentral.
GCAGGGAAUCUUGCGCAAUGGACGAAAGUCUGACGCAGCGACACCGCGUGGAGGAUGAAGGCCUUAGGGUUGUAAACUCCUUUUAUAGGGGAAGAGAACGGACGGUACCUUAUGAAUAAGGAUCGGCUAACUACGUGCCAGCAGCCGCGGUAAUACGUAGGAUCCGAGCGUUGUCCGGAUUUACUGGGCGUAAAGGGUGCGUAGGCGGUUUGUCAAGUCUUAUGUGAAAUCUCCCGGCUCAACUGGGAGGGGUCAUAGGAAACUGGCAGACUUGAGGGCAGUAGAGGAGAGCGGAAUUCCUGGAGUAGCGGUGAUAUGCGUAGAUACCAGGAGGAACACCAGAGGCGAAAGCGGCUCUCUGGGCUGUACCUGACGCUGAGGCACGAAAGCGUGGGGAGCAAACCGG